RNAcentral lists this ribosomal RNA (422 nucleotides) under uncultured bacterium. Its description in RNAcentral is "bacterial SSU rRNA". It matches the Rfam family "Bacterial small subunit ribosomal RNA", at positions 355 to 774 of the family's 1533-position model. The record is from RNAcentral.
UGAGGAAUAUUGGUCAAUGGGGGCAACCCUGAACCAGCCAAGUCGCGUGAAGGAUGAAGGUCUUAUGGAUUGUAAACUUCUUUUAUACAGGAAUAAAGUGGGGGACGUGUCCCCCUUUGCAUGUACCGUGUGAAUAAGGAUCGGCUAACUCCGUGCCAGCAGCCGCGGUAAUACGGAGGAUCCGAGCGUUAUCCGGAUUUAUUGGGUUUAAAGGGUGCGCAGGCGGGAUGUUAAGUCGGCGGUGAAAUUUUGCAGCUCAACUGUAAAAGUGCCUUCGAUACUUGCCUCCUUGAGUGUGGAUGAAGUAGGCGGAAUUUGUGGUGUAGCGGUGAAAUGCUUAGAUAUCACGAGGAACUCCGAUUGCGCAGGCAGCUUACUAAGCCACAACUGACGCUCAUGCACGAGGGCGUGGGGAUCAAACA